Molecule: long non-coding RNA, 1388 nt
Filed under: Nicotiana benthamiana
Lineage: Eukaryota; Viridiplantae; Streptophyta; Magnoliopsida; Solanales; Solanaceae
Description: long non-coding RNA (NBEN_LNC026227)
Source: RNAcentral
ACACAUCAGAUAGAAUCUUCGCAAGGUAAAGUCUUAAUACACUUCUGUUAAUUCAACAAUCACUAACCACAGAAAAAUUAGCUCACAACAAAGACACGGCACAGUUAACGGAGAAAGUUCUGGAGCAGUAUCAGGAUCAAAUUCAAAGAUAGCCUAUUGAUAUCAAUCAGCGUGAAAAUUGGAUGUUUGAAAAUGAAUUGAAUGCACACAACUGGAUUCUCAAGAGUUGGUAUAUGAAAUGAAGACAAAUAGACAAUCCACAACUAAUGCACCAGCUGUUGUGAAAGCUAAAUUACCAGCUGAUGCUUCGGGCAAUCUGUUAUAGAAAAAGGUCUUGUGAUUGUUGGUGUUCCGACAGGCCCUGAUGUUGGACAAAACUCUAAGGAAGUUGGGCAUCAAAAAACAGUAAUUGAUUGUUCCAGUAAUUGAUUGUUCCAUUGCUGAUCCACAAUCAACCCUGUUGAACCCACCAGUAGUUGAUCUAGGGGAAAAUUUUGAUCAGCUAAUAAUCUGUCUAUUCUGAAUGUAGUUAGAUGCUUUAUUGUCUGAAGUAUUUUCUGCUUAUAAUAGGAUGUUUUUCUUUGUCAUUAUGGGCAAAAAUCUUGAACAGUGGAGCAAACAAGUUGCUGAGUACUAAAUUAUUUCCUUUGUGAUGAUUGCAGUUUCAUGCUAUGCUGAAGGAACUGAUUCACAAGGCAAUUAGUGAGACUGCGGCAAGUUCCCUUCUUUUUCUAAUUACUGUUCCGAGCUUAUGAUACAUAAUUGCUGUGAACGUCUCAUUAUAAUACUCCAUUAUUUUGGUGUGUUAAAGGGUCCAACAACUGGACACGUGCUUCUAUGUGCAGGAGCUAAAGCAGUAUCCAUCCCUACGAGUAGAGGUCAACAAUGCUUCUGUUGAAUCAUUAUAAAGGAUGGGGGAUGAAAGCAAAAAAAAGUAGUAUCCCUACCUACGAGUAGAGGUCAGCAAUGCAGUUGUUGAAUCAUUAGAAAGGAUGAGGGAUGAAGGCAAAAGAGCAACUCUUCAGCUGGUUGAAAAGGAGUGUAUGGAAAAAAGAGCUGGACAAGUGCUCGAUCCAAGGUAAUCUGGUGCAAAUCCAGCUGAAGAAACUGUUGUGGUGAAUGCAAGUUUGGAGACUACUAAUGCGGUGAAUGCAACUGGUGUGAUCAGGGAGAUAAGGGCAGAAGACUAGACAAAUAUGUCCAGUAAAAAAAGGCACUCCAAAAAAUAAAAAAAAUGCAGCAGGAUGGCUCAAGAGACAGUACAUGUGCACGAAGUACAAAUCUAUUUGCUGCUCUUGCUAAUGUGAAUGAUGAGGAAGAUUAUGGUGAUGCGUAUGUUGGAAAUUCGAGUGAGGAUGAUGCUCACGAGAGUGAAGAUGAAGGCAUAC